UCGGCUGCAGCCCAGGCUUUGGAACGCAGCUAAAGAAUCCCUGUGGUGUCAACCAACCCUGACAGCUAGCCUAGCUGCUGAUCUACAGGCUAACAACCAAGCUAACAUAACUCCUGCCUCAACCGGUGAACAAAAGCCAGAGAACAGGAGCCAAGCUGAGGUAUCUGGAAGCUAAGUAGCUACACUGCUGACUUUAGCUGGGCGCCCAGUCUUUUGUAUGAGGAUCUGAUAAAGGCUAAAAGGGAACCAGUGCACUGAAGGAUCUGUGCUGAAAGGAACCUUACCGUUCCCUUUCCGAACGCAGAAGAGCGAGUCAGUCACUGUCACCAGCUGGGGGUCCACGUUGGCUCGGAACAUCAGCCAGCUCUCAACACACACUCCAGGCCUCAAAUCAAUUUACCUGGUUUCCUGCCUGCAUCCACUGAAAACAGAGCUCAGGUUGGCAACUCCACAAUCCACCACAUCACAGCAGCAGCCGAU
Long non-coding RNA from Colossoma macropomum (tambaqui), 480 nucleotides. RefSeq lists it as uncharacterized. The record is from RefSeq and is a predicted model, not a curated record. Lineage: Eukaryota; Metazoa; Chordata; Actinopteri; Characiformes; Serrasalmidae. The transcript is spliced from 3 exons.